GGGGUUAUAGCUCAGUGGUAGAGCACAUGCAUAGCAUGCACGAGGUCCUGGGUUCAAUCCCCAGUCCCUCCA
RNAcentral lists this transfer RNA (72 nucleotides) under Camelus bactrianus (Bactrian camel). It matches the Rfam family "tRNA". Rfam says of the family: Transfer RNA (tRNA) molecules are approximately 80 nucleotides in length. Their secondary structure includes four short double-helical elements and three loops (D, anti-codon, and T loops). Lineage: Eukaryota; Metazoa; Chordata; Mammalia; Artiodactyla; Camelidae. The record is from Rfam by way of RNAcentral. RNAcentral also lists the same sequence under 2 other names.